RNAcentral lists this long non-coding RNA (1282 nucleotides) under Bactrocera tryoni. RNAcentral describes it as "uncharacterized LOC120781728, transcript variant X2". The record is from RNAcentral. Lineage: Eukaryota; Metazoa; Arthropoda; Insecta; Diptera; Tephritidae.
GCAAUGCUGAUUACCAAAUUGUGUUAAGCUUAUACUUUAAAGUGCAGAUCAGCGAGCAAAUUAGUAAAAUGACUCCACAUUUUCUCACGUUGCACUGUUUUGGUGUUACAAAUGAGAAUGACACCAUAAAUUGGUGUUAAUAUUGCUCCCAAAGGUGUAGAAUUCACACUUUACUUUUUUGUGUGUAUUAGGUUUAGACUGUAUUGAGACGACAUAUGUAUGUAAAAUGUGUAUCGGUAGCUAUUAAGUAUACAAAGCAUGUGAACCUUACUUAAUGCUACUGUAAGAAUGUAGAUGUCAAAUGUCUUAACGUGAGAUGAGCAUCACCCGCAUGAAGUUAAAAGAGCUCAUAUAUUAAUUCCGGAAAAAGUAAAAUUAAUUCGAUGAUUGAGUCGGUUAAUUGAUAGAGUUAAAACAAUUGGAAUUUCAUCAUCGGACCACAUUAUUCCACACACAUUGCUGCGAAAUAAGAAUCUUUCAUGAAAUGAAACACUUUAUCGUGUUAUUGAUAUUUGCAAAACAUUUGAGUCGGCAAAUAUUUACAAGGGCAUUUUGGAUUCCAAGAAACAAACAGUUGCUGUUGCGCUAUCAUCGCAGAACAAUGAACCGGAUUUAAUCAAUCGUCGUUUCUGUUUCAACUGUGGUGGUGAUUGGAAAUCGGAGCACAAAAGCAAAUGUCCAACCAAUGAUCACACAUGUCAAUGUGAGAAGAAGGGACAUUUUCGCAAGAUGUGUCGACCUAAUAAAAACAAACCAGAAUCAUAUGCAUCAGAGUCGAAGGCAAAUGGAAAACAACGAGAGAAAUGGCAGUGUUGCCAACACAUCCUAAGGAAUUUUGCGAAAGAAUUCAACAUUCAUUAUUUGACGAAAUUGUGAACGGGUAACGAUCAAAUUGUGCUCACAUAGUUUUACUAAUAUUAAUAGCGCCAACUAAGAUUAUAUUUUAAUUAAAUCAAAGAGGCUAAAUCUAAUAUAUACGUUAAUGUGAAAAACGUCAACCAGAGGGUAGAAAUUUUAUACAUACUUAUAAGUACGUACACACAAAAAAAUUUUGGUGUCAAAACAGCACUCUUCGAUGUUGCUGUAAAGGUGUAAUUUUAACUCUUAACUAUUCCCCAAAAUUUGCCCCCACAUAAAGGCUGGAAUGAAACGGAACUCGUAUUUAAUUAAUUUUUUAUUCAGUUCAAAAACUAUUUUCAUAUAUUAUUUAGAUAAAAAUUACAUGCGUUAUUAUUAUGUAUAUAUUAGAAUUAAUAUGAUAGCAAUCAUAAGGCUUUUUAAA